RNAcentral lists this ribosomal RNA (524 nucleotides) under uncultured Clostridiaceae bacterium. RNAcentral's name for it is "bacterial SSU rRNA". It matches the Rfam family "Bacterial small subunit ribosomal RNA", at positions 28 to 550 of the family's 1533-position model. The record is from RNAcentral. Lineage: Bacteria; Bacillati; Bacillota; Clostridia; Eubacteriales; Clostridiaceae.
GAUGAACGCUGGCGGCGUGCUUAACACAUGCAAGUCGAGCGAAGCACUCUGCUUUGAUUCUUUCGGGAUGAAGAGCAUUGCGACUGAGCGGCGGACGGGUGAGUAACGCGUGGGUAACCUGCCUCAUACAGGGGGAUAACAGUUAGAAAUGGCUGCUAAUACCGCAUAAGACCACAGCACCGCAUGGUGCAGGGGUAAAAACUCCGGUGGUAUGAGAUGGACCCGCGUCUGAUUAGCUAGUUGGUGGGGUAACGGCCUACCAAGGCGACGAUCAGUAGCCGACCUGAGAGGGUGACCGGCCACAUUGGGACUGAGACACGGCCCAAACUCCUACGGGAGGCAGCAGUGGGGAAUAUUGCACAAUGGGGGAAACCCUGAUGCAGCGACGCCGCGUGAGCGAAGAAGUAUUUCGGUAUGUAAAGUUCUAUCAGCAGGGAAGAAAAUGACGGUACCUGACUAAGAAGCCCCGGCUAACUACGUGCCAGCAGCCGCGGUAAUACGUAGGGGGCAAGCGUUAUCCGGAU